RNAcentral lists this unclassified non-coding RNA (346 nucleotides) under soil metagenome. RNAcentral describes it as "partial contains 5.8S ribosomal RNA, internal transcribed spacer 2, and large subunit ribosomal RNA". The stretch from base 1 to 119 matches the Rfam family "5.8S ribosomal RNA", at positions 35 to 154 of the family's 154-position model. The record is from RNAcentral.
GAUGAAGAACGUAGCUAAAUGCGAUACGUAAUGUGAAUUGCAAAUUCAGUGAAUCAUCGAGUCUUUGAACGCACAUUGCGCCCCCUGGUAUUCCGGGGGGCAUGCCUGUCCGAGCGUCAUUGCUGCCCUCAAGCACGGCUUGUGUGUUGGGCCCCGUCCUCCGAUCCCGGGGGACGGGCCCGAAAGGCAGCGGCGGCACCGCGUCCGGUCCUCGAGCGUAUGGGGCUUUGUCACCCGCUCUGUAGGCCCGGCCGGCGCUUGCCGAUCAACCCAAAUUUUUUAUCCAGGUUGACCUCGGAUCAGGUAGGGAUACCCGCUGAACUUAAGCAUAUCAAUAAGCGGAGGA